RNAcentral lists this ribosomal RNA (311 nucleotides) under Alcanivorax sp. HI0007. Its description in RNAcentral is "partial 16S ribosomal RNA". It matches the Rfam family "Bacterial small subunit ribosomal RNA", at positions 1234 to 1533 of the family's 1533-position model. The record is from RNAcentral. Lineage: Bacteria; Pseudomonadati; Pseudomonadota; Gammaproteobacteria; Oceanospirillales; Alcanivoracaceae.
GCAGUACAGAGGGCAGCGAAGUCGCGAGGCCAAGCAAAUCCCUUAAAACUGUUCGUAGUCCGGAUUGGAGUCUGCAACUCGACUCCAUGAAGUCGGAAUCGCUAGUAAUCGCGAAUCAGAAUGUCGCGGUGAAUACGUUCCCGGGCCUUGUACACACCGCCCGUCACACCAUGGGAGUGGAUUGCACCAGAAGUAGUUAGUCUAACCUUCGGGAGGACGAUUACCACGGUGUGGUUCAUGACUGGGGUGAAGUCGUAACAAGGUAGCCGUAGGGGAACCUGCGGCUGGAUCACCUCCUUAACGACGAAGAC